This 253-nucleotide ribosomal RNA is filed under the name uncultured bacterium. RNAcentral describes it as "partial 16S ribosomal RNA". It matches the Rfam family "Bacterial small subunit ribosomal RNA", at positions 524 to 776 of the family's 1533-position model. The record is from RNAcentral.
UCCGGAGGGUGCAAUCGUUAUCCGGAAUCACUGGGUUUAAAGGGUGCGUAGGCGGCUUGGUAAGUCAGAGGUGAAAGCCCGCAGCUUAACUGCGGAACUGCCUUUGAUACUGCCGGGCUUGAAAGAGGUUGAGGACAGCGGAACGUGACAUGUAGCGGUGAAAUGCAUAGAUAUGUCGCAGAACACCAAUUGCGAAGGCAGCUGGCUGGGCCUGUUUUGACGCUGAGGCACGAAAGCGUGGGGAGAGAACGGG